AUAAAGGUGGCAGAUGAAG
This 19-nucleotide transfer RNA is filed under the name Dulcerana granularis. Its description in RNAcentral is "partial tRNA-Leu". Lineage: Eukaryota; Metazoa; Mollusca; Gastropoda; Littorinimorpha; Bursidae. The record is from RNAcentral.